Molecule: ribosomal RNA, 460 nt
Filed under: uncultured bacterium
Lineage: Bacteria
Description: partial 16S ribosomal RNA
Rfam family: Bacterial small subunit ribosomal RNA
Source: RNAcentral
CCUACGGGAGGCAGCAGUGAGGAAUAUUGGUCAAUGGGCGAGAGCCUGAACCAGCCAAGUCGCGUGAAGGAUGACUGCCCUACGGGUUGUAAACUUCUUUUGUCAGGGAGCAACGCGGGCCACGUGUGGCCUUACUGAGAGUACCUGAAGAAAAAGCAUCGGCUAACUCCGUGCCAGCAGCCGCGGUAAUACGGAGGAUGCGAGCUUUAUCCGGAUUUAUUGGGUUUAAGGGGUGCGUAGGCGGAAUUCCAAGUCAGCGGUAAAAACUGGGGGCUCAACCUCGCCGUGCCGUUGAAACUGGUGUUCUUGAGUGGGCUAGAAGUAGGCGGAAUGCGUGGUGUAGCGGUGAAAUGCAUAGAUAUCACGCAGAACUCCGAUUGCGAAGGCAGCAUACCGGCGCCCAACUGACGCUGAAGCACGAAAGCGUGGGUAUCGAACAGGAUUAGAUACCCUUGUAGUC